UUCCGGUUGAUCCCGCCGGACCUGACUGCUAUCGGAUUGAUACUAAGCCAUGCGAGUCAUUGUAGCAAUACAAGGCAUACGGCUCAGUAACGCGUAGUCAACCUAACCUAUGGACGGGAAUAACCUCGGGAAACUGAGAAUAAUGCCCGAUAGAACAUUAUGCCUGGAAUGGCUUAUGUUCCAAAUGAUUUAUCGCCGUAGGAUGGGACUGCGGCCUAUCAGUUUGUUGGUGAGGUAAUGGCCCACCAAGACUAUUACAGGUACGGGCUCUGAGAGGAGUAGCCCGGAGAUGGGUACUGAGACACGGACCCAGGCCCUAUGGGGCGCAGCAGGCGAGAAAACUUUGCAAUGUGCGAAAGCACGACAAGGUUAAUCCGAGUGAUUUGUGCUAAACGAAUCUUUUGUUAGUCCUAGAAACACUAACGAAUAAGGGGUGGGCAAGUUCUGGUGUCAGCCGCCGCGGUAAAACCAGCACCUCAAGUGGUCAGGAUGAUUAUUGGGCCUAAAGCAUCCGUAGCCGGCUCUGUAAGUUUUCGGUUAAAUCUGUACGCUCAACGUACAGGCUGCCGGGAAUACUGCAGAGCUAGGGAGUGGGAGAAGUAGACGGUACUCGGUAGGAAGUGGUAAAAUGCUUUGAUCUAUCGAUGACCACCUGUGGCGAAGGCGGUCUACUAGAACACGUCCGACGGUGAGGGAUGAAAGCUGGGGGAGCAAACCGGAUUAGAUACCCGGGUAGUCCCAGCUGUAAACUAUGCAAACUCAGUGAUGCAUUGGCUUGUGGCCAAUGCAGUGCUGCAGGGAAGCCGUUAAGUUUGCCGCCUGGGAAGUACGUACGCAAGUAUGAAACUUAAAGGAAUUGGCGGGGGAGCACCACAAGGGGUGAAGCCUGCGGUUCAAUUGGAGUCAACGCCGGG
RNAcentral lists this ribosomal RNA (914 nucleotides) under uncultured marine archaeon. RNAcentral describes it as "bacterial SSU rRNA". It matches the Rfam family "Archaeal small subunit ribosomal RNA", at positions 1 to 922 of the family's 1478-position model. The record is from RNAcentral.